AUUGGAGUAGCAUACUUCAGAUGGCGACCGGCGCACGGGUGAGUAACACGUAUCCAACCCGUCACUUACUCGGGGAUAGCCUUUCGAAAGAAAGAUUAAUACUCGAUGGUAUAAAGAGUUCGCAUGUUCUCUUUAUUAAAGAAUUUCGGUAAGCGAUGGGGAUGCGUUCCAUUAGAUUGUUGGCGGGGUAACGGCCCACCAAGUCUACGAUGGAUAGGGGUUCUGAGAGGAAGGUCCCCCACAUUGGAACUGAGACACGGUCCAAACUCCUACGGGAGGCAGCAGUGAGGAAUAUUGGUCAAUGGGCGAGAGCCUGAACCAGCCAAGUAGCGUGAAGGAUGACUGCCCUAUGGGUUGUAAACUUCUUUUAUAAGGGAAUAAAGUGAGGGACGUGUCCCUUUUUGUAUGUACCUUAUGAAUAAGGAUCGGCUAACUCCGUGCCAGCAGCCGCGGUAAUACGGAGGAUCCAAGCGUUAUCCGGAUUUAUUGGGUUUAAAGGGAGCGUAGGUUGACAUAUAAGUCAGCUGUGAAAGUUUACGGCUCAACCGUGAAAUUGCAGUUGAUACUGGCGACCUUGAGUGCAACAGAGGUGGGCGGAAUUCGUGGUGUAGCGGUGAAAUGCUUAGAUAUCACGAAGAACUCCGAUUG
RNAcentral lists this ribosomal RNA (648 nucleotides) under uncultured Bacteroidales bacterium. Its description in RNAcentral is "bacterial SSU rRNA". It matches the Rfam family "Bacterial small subunit ribosomal RNA", at positions 71 to 715 of the family's 1533-position model. Lineage: Bacteria; Pseudomonadati; Bacteroidota; Bacteroidia; Bacteroidales. The record is from RNAcentral.